RNAcentral lists this long non-coding RNA (295 nucleotides) under Setaria viridis. RNAcentral's name for it is "long non-coding RNA (SVIR_LNC009090)". The record is from RNAcentral. Lineage: Eukaryota; Viridiplantae; Streptophyta; Magnoliopsida; Poales; Poaceae.
GAAAAGAGUGUAACGAAACAACUGAUUCAACAAUCUAUAAUAUGGAAUCAUGACCUUGUUGGUGCCAUGCUCAAUUGGCCCAUAAGAAACAUCAUACAUGAAAGCCAUUUCGCCAUCCUCAAUGACAUUCUCAUUAUGUAUCUUGUACCUAGUAAGGUCAGCUCCAGCAUAACCAAGAAUACCUGCAAAGUCUACAUAGGUGACUGAAAGUGGCUUCCCUUGGAGCGUCCAAUGCAUGAUCUUGGUGGCCCUAUCAAUGUAGAGAGUGGCAUAGAAUUGGACCACCACCUCCUCA